Molecule: ribosomal RNA, 378 nt
Filed under: uncultured bacterium
Lineage: Bacteria
Description: bacterial SSU rRNA
Rfam family: Bacterial small subunit ribosomal RNA
Source: RNAcentral
ACUCCUACGGGGAGGCAGCAGUGGGGAAUAUUGCACAAUGGGGGGAAACCCUGAUGCAGCCAUGCCGCGUGUGUGAAGAAGGCCUUCGGGUUGUAAAGCACUUUCAGUAGGGAGGAAGGUAGUGUAGUUAACACCUGCAUUAUUUGUACGUUACCUACAGAAGAAGCACCGGCUAACUCCGUGCCAGCAGCCGCGGUAAGUACGGAGGGUGCGAGCGUUAAUCGGAAUUACGUGGGCGUAAAGCGCAUGCAGGCGGCCUGUUAAGUCAGAUGUGAAACGCCCGGGGCUUAACCGUCGGAAUUGCAUUUGAAACUGGCAGGCUAGAGUCUGUAGAGGGGUUAGAAGUUUCAGGUGUAGCGGUGAAAUGCGUAGAGAUCG